CUGGUUGCCAUGACAGCCUCCUCCUUGGUUCCUCCAGAGAAGAAAAGAGAGCCUGGCAGAACCCAGCUGGUGUAUCUGGAUGGCUCCCAGCCUCCUGCAGGAGGCUAAAUGGGGAAAGCACCCUCAGGGUUUUCCAAAAGAUGACUGGGGCGGAGAUGGGCAGAAUAAAGUCAACAGAAAGCAGCACUCACUGGCAGACACCAGGUCCAUGUACUGGCAGAGGGCAUGAAGCAAGAGCCUCUCAAAGCUAGGAAGAACAAGAACAAGGAGAUGGCAUUAGGGCCCAGGCCCCUCCAGCGUGUCCUGGGAGAGGGAGGGACGAGUCAGGACAGUCAGGACCCCACCCGGACGCCCCAGGAGGUGCUGCUCCCCACCAUCGCUGUCCCUCCGACCAGCAAGCCCCAUCUCCUCCCAGAGAACCCUCCCUUCGAAGCACAGCCUGGAAUCUAGAAGGAACAUCAGCGCUGGAAGGGAGCACAGGGACUGUCUAGCAAGGAUUCCCUCUACGACACAAAUGCUUGUUGACCAACUAAAACUGGUCGUGUGCUAGAACCGCCUUCCCAGGAACUCUGCGGCGCCCUGGGUGCCCCUCUCCCUUCUUUGUACCCCCUGAAGCAGCCACUGCCCAGGCACUCAGAUUAAAGAGGCAUUCAAGGA
This is a long non-coding RNA of Monodelphis domestica (gray short-tailed opossum), 657 nucleotides long. RefSeq lists it as uncharacterized. The record is from RefSeq and is a predicted model, not a curated record. Lineage: Eukaryota; Metazoa; Chordata; Mammalia; Didelphimorphia; Didelphidae.